UACGUAGGGACCGAGCGUUGUCCGGAAUCAUUGGGCGUAAAGAGCGUGUAGGCGGCCUUUUAAGUCCUGCGUGAAAUCCUGCGGCUCAACCGCAGACGGUCGUGGGAAACUGGAAGGCUAGAGUGCGGGAGAGGAGAGUGGAAUUCCCGGUGUAGCGGUGAAAUGCGCAGAUAUCAGGAGGAACACCGGUGGCGAAGGCGGGUCUCUGGGCCGUAACUGACGCUGAGGAGCGAAAGCGUGGGGAGCGAACAGG
RNAcentral lists this ribosomal RNA (253 nucleotides) under uncultured bacterium. Its description in RNAcentral is "partial 16S ribosomal RNA". It matches the Rfam family "Bacterial small subunit ribosomal RNA", at positions 524 to 776 of the family's 1533-position model. The record is from RNAcentral.